GAUUAUGUGGAGCGUGAAGAGUUAAUCACCCUCAUCUUUGCAUAUUCGUGCACUUUGGGUGUACUUGCUCGUGUGGUAGGUUAACAUCAAUUUUGAUCGUCAUAAAAUGGUUGGAGGAAUGUAGCUUCGAUCUUGUAUUGAAGUGUUAUAGCCUUCGGCAGAUGUGAUGAUUGGGAUUGAGGAUUGCAACGGAUACCCUUCGGGGCUACCUGUCUGAUCUCUGAUCGUUACUCUGGUGCCGAAAGCUUGCUUACGGUCAUCAAAGUUGAUGGUCAAUAGGUUAGAACGGGUUAAAUUCGUUAAGGAUGUUGACGUA
This 316-nucleotide ribosomal RNA is filed under the name uncultured Glomeromycotina. RNAcentral describes it as "eukaryotic LSU rRNA". The record is from RNAcentral. Lineage: Eukaryota; Fungi; Glomeromycota.